UACGGAAGGGGCAAGCGUUGUUCGGAAUCAUUGGGCGUAAAGGGCGCGUAGGUGGUCUUAUGUGUCUACUGUGAAAGCACACGGCUCAACCGUGUCGGGUCGGUAGAAACUGUAGGACUUGAGGCUGGGAGGGGCUGGUGGAAUUCCCUGUGUAGCGGUGAAAUGCGUAGAGAUGGGGGAGAACACUCGUGGCGAAGGCGGCCAGCUGGACCAGUCCUGACACUGAGGCGCGACAGCAUGGGGAGCAAAC
This 250-nucleotide ribosomal RNA is filed under the name uncultured bacterium. RNAcentral's name for it is "partial 16S ribosomal RNA". It matches the Rfam family "Bacterial small subunit ribosomal RNA", at positions 524 to 773 of the family's 1533-position model. The record is from RNAcentral.